GAAUUUUGUAACUAUACCAUUCUUCAAUCCACACAAAAAAAACCUAAAAUUUAAUAAAAAUCAGUCCAGCCGUGUAGGAAGAACUCCCUAACAUAUCCACGGACAGAAGAAUUAAAACUAUUUAUGAUAUCUCGUAUGAAGAAACCUCAACAUUAACUCAAGGUGUCUGAGGAAUGUCGGACCAAAAUCGUCGGAGAAAUUCUUCACACCUCCUUAAAUGUGAACCGUAUCUUCCAUAAUAGUAAAGUUCGUUUUGUAACAACAGGAUUACAUUAAUAGAUAAAUAAAUAGGUA
Bombyx mori (domestic silkworm) is the source of this 294-nucleotide long non-coding RNA. RefSeq lists it as uncharacterized. The transcript is spliced from 2 exons. The record is from RefSeq and is a predicted model, not a curated record. Lineage: Eukaryota; Metazoa; Arthropoda; Insecta; Lepidoptera; Bombycidae.